AGGUGCCACAGCUCUUUUAGUAUUUGUCUAGUAGGUUUUCCAGUUUUUGCCAGAAAAUCUCC
This 62-nucleotide small nuclear RNA is filed under the name Carlito syrichta (Philippine tarsier). Its description in RNAcentral is "U7 small nuclear RNA (ENSTSYG00000028669.1)". It matches the Rfam family "U7 small nuclear RNA". From Rfam's summary of the family: Animal histone pre-mRNAs are spliced by a different mechanism than nuclear pre-mRNAs and self-splicing introns. This processing involves the U7 snRNP, which contains only one RNA species: U7. The record is from Rfam by way of RNAcentral. Lineage: Eukaryota; Metazoa; Chordata; Mammalia; Primates; Tarsiidae.